AAACUUCUGACUUUCUCAGACCAAAUGUCCGAUCUCAUAAUAUUCAGGUAAGAACUAACUGGUGAUAAUAAAAGAUAAAAAUGAAAUUCAUCUUGAGCUCAUUAAAAGUUACUACUUACUAUGGGAUCAUCUAUAUCAGUUAGUUGCCCAAGUACUUGGGAUCAGCCACUACAUAAUGAUAAGCAAUAACAAAUACGAAAAUAAAGAUGCCAAGAAAGUUAGCAAAGAAUCCUAAAUCUUGAUCAUCCAUUAUCUUCGAUUGAUUGAGAUCGAAUUUGUUGAAAAAAAAUUAGUAGCCUGCUGUGAGGGGAA
Molecule: unclassified non-coding RNA, 312 nt
Filed under: Hevea brasiliensis (rubber tree)
Lineage: Eukaryota; Viridiplantae; Streptophyta; Magnoliopsida; Malpighiales; Euphorbiaceae
Source: RNAcentral